Molecule: ribosomal RNA, 253 nt
Filed under: uncultured bacterium
Lineage: Bacteria
Description: partial 16S ribosomal RNA
Rfam family: Bacterial small subunit ribosomal RNA
Source: RNAcentral
UACAGAGGGUGCAAGCGUUAAUCGGAAUUACUGGGCGUAAAGCGCACGUAGGUUGAAAAUUAAGUUAGAUGUGAAAGCCCCGGGCUCAACCUGGGAAAGGCAUAUAAUACUGGUUAUCUAGAGUACAGUAGAGGGAAGUGGAAUUUCCGGUGUAGCGGUGAAAUGCGUAGAUAUCGGAAGGAACAUCAGUGGCGAAGGCGGCUUCCUGGACUGAUACUGACACUGAGGUGCGAAAGCGUGGGUAGCGAACAGG